Molecule: long non-coding RNA, 234 nt
Organism: Daphnia pulicaria
Lineage: Eukaryota; Metazoa; Arthropoda; Branchiopoda; Diplostraca; Daphniidae
Exons: 3
Source: RefSeq, a predicted model, not a curated record
UUUCCCAAGUUUUUUUACGAUUUCGAGAAAUAAUCUAACGAACAAAUAAUUGGAUUAAUGAUGACGGAAGUGUAUACUUUUGAGUGCCCAAGUUGCAGACAAAUGUAUUCUUCAAUCUACAGAAGAUGUCCUGAUUGCCCCGAAGAGGAUCAAGAUGAUGAAGAUGCUUUAUCAGAGAGCUUUGAUACAGAAGGUUUUUACUCCUCUGACGAUAAUGAAAGUGUAAACUUGGAU